UACGGAGGGGGCUAGCGUUGUUCGGAAUUACUGGGCGUAAAGCGCACGUAGGCGGCUUUGUAAGUUAGAGGUGAAAGCCCAGGGCUUAACCCUGGAAUUGCCUUUAAGACUGCAUCGCUAGAAUCGUGGAGAGGUGAGUGGAAUUCCGAGUGUAGAGGUGAAAUUCGUAGAUAUUAGGAGGAACACCGGUGGCGAAGGCGCCACUCUGGGCCGAAACUGACGCUGAGGAGCGAAAGCGUGGGUAGCAAACAGG
RNAcentral lists this ribosomal RNA (253 nucleotides) under uncultured bacterium. RNAcentral describes it as "partial 16S ribosomal RNA". It matches the Rfam family "Bacterial small subunit ribosomal RNA", at positions 524 to 776 of the family's 1533-position model. The record is from RNAcentral.